AACCUUUACACUGCACGACAGUGCGAUAAGGGAAUCCCAAGUGCGUAGGCAUAGAGCCUACGCUUUUGUCCACCGUAGGGAGGUGGACGAAUAAGGGCUGGGCAAGACCGGUGCCAGCCGCCGCGGUAAUACCGGCAGCCCGAGUGAUGGCCGAUCUUAUUGGGCCUAAAGCGUCCGUAGCUGGCCGCACAAGUCCAUCGGAAAAUCCACCCGCUCAACGGGUGGGCGUCCGGUGGAAACUGUGUGGCUUGGGGCCGGAAGGCGCGACGGGUACGUCCGGGGUAGGAGUGAAAUCCCGUAAUCCUGGACGGACCGCCGAUGGCGAAAGCACGUCGCGAGAACGGAUCCGACAGUGAGGGACGAAAGCUAGGGUCUCGAACCGGAUUAGAUACCCGGGUAGUCCUAGCCGUAAACAAUGCCUGCUAGGUGUGGCUCUCACUACGAGUGGGUGCUGUGCCGUAGGGAAGCCGCUAAGCAGGCCGCCUGGGAAGUACGUCCGCAAGGAUGAAACUUAA
This 515-nucleotide ribosomal RNA is filed under the name uncultured archaeon. RNAcentral describes it as "bacterial SSU rRNA". It matches the Rfam family "Archaeal small subunit ribosomal RNA", at positions 345 to 859 of the family's 1478-position model. The record is from RNAcentral.